RNAcentral lists this ribosomal RNA (497 nucleotides) under uncultured bacterium. RNAcentral's name for it is "partial 16S ribosomal RNA". It matches the Rfam family "Bacterial small subunit ribosomal RNA", at positions 28 to 507 of the family's 1533-position model. The record is from RNAcentral.
GAUGAACGCUGGCGGCGUGCCUAAUACAUGCAAGUCGAGCGAACGGACGAGAAGCUUGCUUCUCUGAUGUUAGCGGCGGACGGGUGAGUAACACGUGGAUAACCUACCUAUAAGACUGGGAUAACUUCGGGAAACCGGAGCUAAUACCGGAUGAUAUUUUGAACCGCAUGGUUCAAAAGUGAAAGACGGUCUUGCUGUCACUUAUAGAUGGAUCCGCGCUGCAUUAGCUAGUUGGUAAGGUAACGGCUUACCAAGGCAACGAUGCAUAGCCGACCUGAGAGGGUGAUCGGCCACACUGGAACUGAGACACGCUCCAGACUCCUACGGGAGGCAGCAGUAGGGAAUCUUCCGCAAUGGGCGAAAGCCUGACGGAGCAACGCCGCGUGAGUGAUGAAGGUCUUCGGAUCGUAAAACUCUGUUAUUAGGUAAGAACAUAUGUGUAAGUAACUGUGCACAUCUUGACGGUACCUAAUCAGAAAGCCACGGCUAACUACGUG